Molecule: ribosomal RNA, 235 nt
Filed under: uncultured bacterium
Lineage: Bacteria
Description: partial 16S ribosomal RNA
Rfam family: Bacterial small subunit ribosomal RNA
Source: RNAcentral
UGAGUAACCUGCCCUUGACACUGGAAUAACAGUUGGAAACAGCUGCUAAUACCGGAUAUGACCUCUGACGACAUCGUCUGGAGGUGGAAAGCUCCGGCGGUCAAGGAUGGGCUCGCGGCCUAUCAGCUUGUUGGCGAGGUAACGGCUCACCAAGGCUUCGACGGGUAGCCGACCUGAGAGGGCGACCGGCCACACGUGGGACUGAGAUACGGCCCAGACCUCCCGACGGGAGCAG